RNAcentral lists this transfer RNA (73 nucleotides) under Candidatus Kaiserbacteria bacterium RIFCSPHIGHO2_01_FULL_49_13. RNAcentral describes it as "tRNA-Thr". It matches the Rfam family "tRNA". Rfam says of the family: Transfer RNA (tRNA) molecules are approximately 80 nucleotides in length. The record is from RNAcentral. Lineage: Bacteria; Candidatus Kaiseribacteriota.
GCCGGGAUAGCUCAGCUGGUAGAGCAGCUGUUUUGUAAACAGCAGGUCGCAGGUUCAAGUCCUGUUCCCGGCU